Molecule: non-coding RNA, 865 nt
Organism: Paramuricea clavata
Lineage: Eukaryota; Metazoa; Cnidaria; Anthozoa; Malacalcyonacea; Plexauridae
Source: the annotation of a GenBank genome assembly
GCUAUUUAUGACCUUUGAGAGGUCAAGCGGUGUCAUAAUUCAUUAUAUUACUCAAUUAGUCUCGAACAAUGUAAAGUAGCCAUACCUUUAGCCGACCAUAACUUCGGCCCCUUUGGACAUAUCUUUUUCGCAAUAGUCUUAUUCGAACCGGAAUCCAAAACACUAUCUAGAGUCAUAUUUUCAAGCUUGUGUCUUCAGAUUUGCAUCUUUUACUUCGGUAUUACAAAAUAUUUAUAUUUUUAGCUGGCCCGCAAAACCGAAAUACAAUUGCAAAUUGAAUCAUCAAAACAAAGCAAAUCAUCGUCAGCCUUUAUUAGCUUCUGAUAGUUAGGCUUGCCGAGCCCCGGCAACGAAAAGAAAUGCCUCUCGUAAUCCUCUGUUCUACAAUGAUCCGAGCAUAUAGUCGAAGUCUUUGACGGCACAAACAAACCCUUUGCGCAUACAAAAUCAACCCAUACUAGUUCUUUUUUUAGCUUCCGCGUGUUCGUCAUUGAAGUAUGGAAUAUUGUGUAGACUUAUUCCAUCUUUUAAACAUACUUUAUUGGUACAGUUAGCUGCAACACAGUAAAAAGGCAUAUCUUUUUCGAUCACAAAUCUACUUAUAUAUCCGCCGAGAGUUCAUAGUACUAGUAUAGUCGAAUGAAAGAAUAUACGCCGACUCACUUGCGUGACGUAACAAAAAUCGCUCGUUCCAGUUUCCUUCGAACACGGACGCCUGCCAACCAAAAGCCCAAAUUUUUUGUGUUCAAACGGCUCUAAAAUUUUUUCGUUUUGAUGAAAUCGAAAAAUUCUUUCGCUAGAGCACUAUACGAAAUGAGUACUUUCAAUAGACUGAAAAAAAAAUUUUGUGUCAGGGGCACUUUAA